This 252-nucleotide ribosomal RNA is filed under the name uncultured bacterium. Its description in RNAcentral is "partial 16S ribosomal RNA". It matches the Rfam family "Bacterial small subunit ribosomal RNA", at positions 524 to 776 of the family's 1533-position model. The record is from RNAcentral.
UACGUAGGUGGCGAGCGUUAUCCGGAAUGAUUGGGCGUAAAGGGUGCGUAGGCGGCCUGCUAAGUCUGGAGUGAAAGGUACCGGCUCAACCGGUACAGGCUCUGGAAACUGGCGGGCUAGAGAGCAGGAGAGGGCGGUGGAACUCCAUGUGUAGCGGUAAAAUGCGUAGAUAUAUGGAGGAACACCGGUGGCGAAAGCGGCUCUCUGGCCUGUAACUGACACUGAGGCUCGAAAGCGUGGGUAGCAAACAGG